RNAcentral lists this non-coding RNA (25 nucleotides) under Drosophila erecta. The record is from RNAcentral. Lineage: Eukaryota; Metazoa; Arthropoda; Insecta; Diptera; Drosophilidae. RNAcentral also lists the same sequence under 1 other name.
UGUUUGUCAGCUGUGAGAUGCGCAA